UUAAAACGAACUGGUUUAUUUACAUAAGUGUGUGGGUCG
This 39-nucleotide non-coding RNA is filed under the name Plasmodium falciparum 3D7. The record is from RNAcentral. Lineage: Eukaryota; Apicomplexa; Aconoidasida; Haemosporida; Plasmodiidae.